GCGCGCCGCGGCCUGGCUGGCGGCGCUGCUGGCCGCGCUGCUGCUCGUCAACGCGCUGCUCUACUGGAAGCUCUACCACGCCGACAGGACGCCCUACGCCUUCGAUCUAGAUGAUUUACAGAACAGGAUGAGCACAGUGAGCGGGUCGCAGAUGUCGGACUGGUCCAAGCUGCUGGAGCAGCACACGCACCGCCAGCGCGGCCAGCUGCUCGCCUGGCGCGACGCCUUGCAGCGGGCUGUCGCACACCUCGCGCAGACUGAGCAAGCACUAGCGAAAUUACUGGAAACUAUAAAACCUUCGCUAGAGAAAGCGCAACGCGACGCGGAGAACAGAGACGAGCUCUGAGCGGCGCGCGGAGUGUGACACAUACACAGCGGGACUGCCCACACUACAGCUCUACAACAUUCAUUUACUCUACAAUUCCAUGCAAUACUAUGUGCUCGGUUCUACAUAAUCUAGCAAAGAGUUGAUUUGCACUCAACAGAACCAUCUAAAUAUCAAAAACAAUCAUUUUUAUAAGAUGACAGUACUAGUGGCAGAGAAAGAUCACCUGUACCGCCAUGAAAUAAGACUCCAAAUAUGUUCAGCGUUUCGUUAGACAUUGCUCAAACUAUGUAAGGUAAUCGUUUAAGCUAUGAUAUGACCGAUGUUGAUCAUACAACCACUGUGUAUGUACAGUCACACGCUGCGAGGUAAUGUAAUAUAUUUUAUCCUAAUUCGUCUGUUAGAGGUUUUCUCGACAAUUCCUACCCCCGUUUCGGUUUAAUGUUCGUAAAAGCACACAGUCCAAUACUUAGCAACGAUUUAUACAUAAAGUAUAUCUUUUGGUGAGUGUAUUCCGUAACUAUUUAUUUAUUUGUUAGUCAAUUCUUAGCUCUGUCCAAAGUUUAUAGUAUGCUAAAAUUCUGUCAGUGUGUGUUCAGAAUUUAUUUGGUAUAUAACAACUCAACAAGAGAUGUAACUUUACAGAAUACUAAAUAUGGCCUCCUAUUUGAGAUGACCCCAGCACGUAAGAAAACCUCACAGAUCCCCACUGUGAUAAAGUAGAUACAAAUAAUAAUUUUAUUCCUCUAGUGAAUACUGUUUACCUUCGUGACGUAUGUACGCCAAGCGUUGUACUUCUCCUUUCCAGUUUACUUGCUAAUGUAAUUAAUUAUAAUUAUUAUAAUUAUGUAGAUUUAUUGUGUUGGAGGUGAAUGAGGCCCCGGGUACCUUAUUAAUUAUUGUAAAUAUAAAUGCAAUAUUACGACUUAAGAUGUGAAUGGCUGUUUUAUACCACUUAAUUAUCUAAAUCAGAACAGCUUUCCUUUUGAAUGAUUUGAUAAUUACAGGUAUCUGUUCCAAAACUUUGAAAAGUGUUCAUAUUUAAAGGCACAUGUUUGCUUUUCUUUUCAACAAAACGAGAAAAUCACCCUUACCAGGUUCCUUGUAUUUUAAUUAUAAGACUUUGUUGUAUAUUUCAUAAUUAUGCUUUAAAGAUUAUGUGUUCGCCGAAUUAUCUGGCAAAUGUCAGUAGUUUGUUUCUAUGUAUAAUGUCAUAAGUAGGUAAGCAGUGGUGGUUACACAAGGUCGGGGUAACAUAAGUGCGUGUGAGUAAUAACUGUUACUGACUACCAGGUGUAGUUGUGUGUGUAGGGGGGCCUUAUUCACCUCGGUGUCGAGUCGCUGUACUAGAUGUCUGGAAUGAAUGCGUUUUAUGUAAAUUUAAUGAUCACAAUUUAAUAUAUUAUAAUUUAAAGUUUAGUUCGUGUGUGAAAUCCAGUACAGUGUAUACGAGGCUUAAGAUUAACGUUCAAAACGUAAUAAGUACUUAUGGCAGUUAUAUUAAAUGUAUGUACAUUCAAUAGUGCACACUAUUUAAUUGUUGCAUGAAAAUAUAUUUAUUACGGCUGGCUAACGCGGACUUACAUACUUGAGAGAACUUGUCAUUUUGCAACAUAAAUGUUAAAACAUGUACAGAUUAUAUUAAUAAAAAUAUUUAUUUAAUAUGUACAUAUUCUAGGAAAUAUUGUGCAUUGUUGAGUGUUAAUAAAAUUCGCAGGCGCAAUAAUAGAUUUAUAUUAAUAUAUCCAGUAAAGGCUUCGUAACCGGCGGUUGCUUCUAAACAUAAACGUCAAUAUAAUAGCCGCCCACAUAGGCGCCUGCAAACACCACUUACUAAAUGUACUUCACUUAUUUAUUUGUCGAUAAUUUUAAAUUAUUUAUCAGUUUUAUCACAAACUUAUAAACACGGUUUCCCCAAAUACAUAUUAGUAUGUAUGUCUAUCAAAGAUAUUGACAGCUCUACCAAAAAUUCUUAACCACACUCGGUAUUAGGUUUCGAUGAUUGCAUUUGAAGAGUUAGAUAUAUUGUUAAGUAAGGGUAUUGUGUAGUUGACUACCGCCAAACGUCGUGAUACGCGGCAUAGUGCUAAGAAAAUGCGUAUUUUUCAAUUCGUUUAGACAUGUAUCGAUUUAAUGCGUAUUCAAUUAAUAUUUUCUCCAUUGGUCUAGAAUUAUAUACCGUUUAAAGUAUGAAUGUGUAUAAAAACACUUAAGAGUGUACCUAAUAAAAUUACAAGAAUAAAGUUUAAAACAAUUUCUUUGUUUUGUAUUCUCUUUUCUAGCACAUAAUUGAUACAUGUCUGAUAUAGAUGUAAUAGUUUAAUUAUAUUUAAAACGAAUCUAUAAAUUAUAUGUACUAUAAUAAAUUUAAAAAUAUAUAAAAGAAAAUUAUCACAGUGUUGUUUAGAAUCAAAGAGUAUUAAAUGUAAGUAUGUCGAUGUUAUCAUCUAGAAAACAAAGGAAAAUAAUGUAAAUUUUUCAGUUGUAGUAAUGAUCUCUUUUUGUAAAAAUAUUUUACUACACCUAGUUACGUUUCGGUGCUUUAGUUUUAUUGAAAAAUGUAAUGUUUUUCGUUAUUUUUAAUUGAUGUUUGUAUAUUGAACAUGUCAAUUAUGUAUUUUAUUUAUUGGUAAAUCAUUGAAAGGAAUCCACGUUAUUUCAGAAGAUGCCUCAAGUUUUAUUUGCAUAUACUUUAGCGGGACACGUGUAAUGCCUUUAGAAUAAAUGAAUUGUGGAACAAUAUUGACUCAUCGCAGUUGUAAUAAAACUUCAUUCCAGAUGUGUGAAAUGAUCUGAACCUAUAGAUAAGGUGGAAUGGUGGGACAAAUUAUAUAUAUAGAUUCCUAUUAGAUAUACCUUUGUGCAUUUCUAAUGUGAAUGAAGUUGGUCUAGGAGCGGGCAGGAGUUCACAAUUGUUAUAGAGAAUGUCUGCCAUGAUGUCCUAAGUUCUCUAAACUAGUGCUUGAGAAACAUUCAUUUGUCUACGUUCAGUUCUUAGUGAAUGAGUAGCAAGUGUAGCAACUGUUUUUGAUCUUUCUCAAUACUGGCUGCAAUAAGUACGUUGCAUUUUGAGCUCUAUUCCGUGAACCUAGAGAAUAGUGUGUCAGUUUAGUGUAUUAUUAUUGCGUCUGGUAUAGAAAGCUCCCAAAGAAUUGCUCUCCAGACUACAGUACUUUGCUACAGGAAAUGGACGUUAUCUAAAAGUAGAACUUCGGACCUUGUUUGUGUGUAACCUGCUAACGCAAGAUCCCUUUUAUCGUGGGUUCAAUAAGCUCAAGUAAAAACUUGCCUACUACCUAUAAAUUUCCCUAACACUAUAUUUAUGAAGUAAACCAAUAAUGACACGAGUUUAUAUCGUUUACGGUCGAAUCAUUCGUGUAGUGAUGUGAGCGACAAUAACGAAUGCCCGCUCUUCAGUUCAUGCGCCGGUUUGAGCGCUAGCCAGAACUAAGGUGAAUUUAUUGCACAAUUGUAAUUCCAUUUUAGGUGUAAUGGAUUAUGUAAGUUAGACAAUUCUAUUCUCAGUAUUGAAUAAAUAUUUUAAUGAA
Long non-coding RNA from Trichoplusia ni (cabbage looper), 3873 nucleotides. RefSeq lists it as uncharacterized. The record is from RefSeq and is a predicted model, not a curated record. NCBI's taxonomy places the organism in Eukaryota, Metazoa, Arthropoda, Insecta, Lepidoptera, Noctuidae. The transcript has 3 exons.